Molecule: ribosomal RNA, 776 nt
Filed under: Skeletonema pseudocostatum
Lineage: Eukaryota; Bacillariophyta; Thalassiosirophyceae; Thalassiosirales; Thalassiosiraceae
Description: eukaryotic LSU rRNA
Rfam family: Eukaryotic large subunit ribosomal RNA
Source: RNAcentral
CAAGGAUUCCCCUAGUAACGGCGAGUGAAGCGGGAUGAGCUCACCAUGUGAAUCUGCGCAACCAGCAAUGGUGCGCCGAAUUGUGGUCUGAAGAAGUAUUGUCGGCCGCGAGUCCGGGUUAACUGUAUUGGAAAAUACGGCCUGUGAGGGUGAAAGCCCCGUUCAUGCCUGGACUUGUUGCGCUUUGGCACAUGCUUUCUACGAGUCGAGUUGCUUGGGAUUGCAGCUCAAAUUUGGUGGUAAAUUCCAUCUAAAGCUAAAUAUUGGUGUGACACCGAUAGUGUACAAGUACCGUGAGGGAAAGAUGCAAAGAACUUUGAAAAGAGAGUUAAAGAGUACCUGAAAUUGUUAAAAGGGAAGCGAAGGAAUCCAGUGUAAAGCGAAGCCAUUCUUCUCAAGCCACUUGUGGUUUGGGCGCUGUGGUUAGCUGUACUAAUUCUGGGCUUGACCUGGGGCAUACGUUCUUCGAGUAGACGACUCUUCGGAGUGAGUGCUCGUUUUUCAUAUCCUGGGUCGGGCUGAGGUCAGUCACUCUGUGCUCGUGAUGAAUUAGGAAAUGGAUUUCUUUACCCCGUCUUGAAACACGGACCAAGGAGUCUAACAUAUGUGCAAGUACGUCAGUGGCAAACUGAUAUGCGUAAUGAAAGUAACAGUGGUAGGAACCUUCGGGUGCACUAUCCGCCGGCCAUAAUCCUUCGGGAGAAAGGUCUGAGUGUGAGCAUACAUGUUGGGACCCGAAAGAUGGUGAACUAUGCCUGAGUAGGGCGAAGCCAGGG